This 272-nucleotide long non-coding RNA is filed under the name Linum usitatissimum (flax). Its description in RNAcentral is "long non-coding RNA (LUSI_LNC007190)". Lineage: Eukaryota; Viridiplantae; Streptophyta; Magnoliopsida; Malpighiales; Linaceae. The record is from RNAcentral.
AAUCCCGAAGCGAGGAUUCAUGUCAUGAUGAUGUGGCCAUUGGUAACGUUGAGACUCCCGGUCCCAUAGUCUUUGGGCAGGGAGUGCUGGGGGCAAAGGCGGGGCCGGAGCGCUGGGGUCAAAGGCGGGGCAGGUGGAGGGCUCGGAAUAGCAUGUCUUCUUCCCGCAUCCUGAUGAUCUAACUCUUGGUCUGCUAUGCUGGGAGAAGUUUCGUCCCAGUCGAGAUUAGCAUGAGUUUGCCUCUCUACGUAAGAACGAAUCAACUGAUCAAG